This 264-nucleotide ribosomal RNA is filed under the name Enterobacter cloacae subsp. dissolvens. RNAcentral's name for it is "partial 16S ribosomal RNA". It matches the Rfam family "Bacterial small subunit ribosomal RNA", at positions 517 to 780 of the family's 1533-position model. The record is from RNAcentral. Lineage: Bacteria; Pseudomonadati; Pseudomonadota; Gammaproteobacteria; Enterobacterales; Enterobacteriaceae.
GCGGUAAUACGGAGGGUGCAAGCGUUAAUCGGAAUUACUGGGCGUAAAGCGCACGCAGGCGGUCUGUCAAGUCGGAUGUGAAAUCCCCGGGCUCAACCUGGGAACUGCAUUCGAAACUGGCAGGCUAGAGUCUUGUAGAGGGGGGUAGAAUUCCAGGUGUAGCGGUGAAAUGCGUAGAGAUCUGGAGGAAUACCGGUGGCGAAGGCGGCCCCCUGGACAAAGACUGACGCUCAGGUGCGAAAGCGUGGGGAGCAAACAGGAUUA